UACGUAGGGGGCAAGCGUUGUCCGGAUUUAUUGGGCGUAAAGCGCGCGCAGGUGGUUCCUUAAGUCUGAUGUGAAAGCCCACGGCUCAACCGUGGAGGGUCAUUGGAAACUGGGGAACUUGAGUGCAGAAGAGGAAAGUGGAAUUCCAAGUGUAGCGGUGAAAUGCGUAGAGAUUUGGAGGAACACCAGUGGCGAAGGCGACUUUCUGGUCUGUAACUGACACUGAGGCGCGAAAGCGUGGGGAGCAAACAGG
RNAcentral lists this ribosomal RNA (253 nucleotides) under uncultured bacterium. RNAcentral's name for it is "partial 16S ribosomal RNA". It matches the Rfam family "Bacterial small subunit ribosomal RNA", at positions 524 to 776 of the family's 1533-position model. The record is from RNAcentral.